GACGAACGCUGGCGGCGCGCCUAACACAUGCAAGUCGAGCGAUGAAAUUUUAACCGCUCUCUUCGGAGAGAAGAUAAAAUGGAUUAGCGGCGGACGGGUGAGUAACACGUGAGAAACCUGCCUUUCACAAGGGGAUAGCCUCGGGAAACCGGGAUUAAUACCCUAUGACACAUUUCCUUCGCAUGGAAGAAAUGUUAAAACUCCGGUGGUGAAAGAUGGUCUCGCGCCUGAUUAGCCAGUUGGUGGGGUAACGGCCCACCAAGGCCAUGAUCAGUAACCGGCCUGAGAGGGUGAACGGUCACAUUGGAACUGAGACACGGUCCAAACUCCUACGGGAGGCAGCAGUGGGGAAUAUUGCACAAUGGAGGAAACUCUGAUGCAGCGACGCCGCGUGAGCGAUGAAGGCUUUCGAGUCGUAAAGCUCUGUCCUAUGGGAAGAUAAUGACGGUACCAUAGGAGGAAGCCCCGGCUAACUACGUG
This 480-nucleotide ribosomal RNA is filed under the name uncultured bacterium. RNAcentral's name for it is "partial 16S ribosomal RNA". It matches the Rfam family "Bacterial small subunit ribosomal RNA", at positions 28 to 507 of the family's 1533-position model. The record is from RNAcentral.